AGCCGCCGAACCUUGUUGGAGGUUCUGGGGCGCAGAACCGCUACUGCUGCUUCGGUGUCUCCUUGGGAAAAAAUAAAAUUUGAACCUUUUGGAGCUGUGUGCUAAAUCUUCAGUGGGACAAUGGGUUCAGACAAAAGAGUGAGUAGAACAGAGCGUAGUGGAAGAUACGGUUCCAUCAUAGACAGGGAUGACCGUGAUGAGCGAGAAUCCCGAAGCAGGCGGAGGGACUCAGAUUACAAAAGAUCUAGUGAUGAUCGGAGGGGUGAUAGAUAUGACGACUACCGAGACUAUGACAGUCCAGAGAGAGAGCGUGAAAGAAGGAACAGUGACCGAUCUGAAGAUGGCUACCAUUCAGAUGGUGACUAUGGUGAGCACGACUAUAGGCAUGACAUCAGUGACGAGAGGGAGAGCAAGACCAUCAUGCUGCGCGGCCUUCCCAUCACCAUCACAGAGAGCGAUAUUCGAGAAAUGAUGGAGUCCUUCGAAGGCCCUCAGCCUGCGGAUGUGAGGCUGAUGAAGAGGAAAACAGGUGUAAGCCGUGGUUUCGCCUUCGUGGAGUUUUAUCACUUGCAAGAUGCUACCAGCUGGAUGGAAGCCAAUCAGGUUGCUUCACUCACCAAGUCUAGAUAUUCAUGAAAAUGGAACAAGUCUGUACAAUUAAAAAAAAAAGGUUGAAGGAGUGGUUUGUUCCAAAGGAGUGACUUUUUUUUAAAAAAAAGCUUUGUAUAUAUUAAAAUUGAUGUUACUAGAGUAAGUACAGUACCAAGGACUUCAUUGUAGAAUUUGUUCUGCCUUUAAACAUGGCUACCUACCUGGCAGGGCUUUGUUAACUACUGAAUACCUGUCUGGUAAUCACUUAAUGUUUCCCUUUUUUCUACUUUGUUAUGUUCCUAUUAUGUCCAUUGAGAGUAAGCUUAGUAUAUCAAACUCUCCAUUUGACAGUGAAGAAAACAUAGUGAAAGUCUGUGGCAGGCAUUUUUAUAAGUAAUUCCUUAUUUCUGCUUGAAGACCACAAAGCCUCCUGGAGGCAUAACUGCUCAGACGGGUCUUCAGGGAAUAUUUAAGGACUUAGUGGAAUUUAUGAACAAUAAGUCUGAUGAGAUUAGCCUGGGAGUGGUGUCCUGCUGCUGUCUAAUCUAGUUAGAGUGGCAUUAACAUUCUAAUCUCCCUGAGAAUGCCUUUUAUAGUCUGUUCAAAGCAAGUCAUUGAUGGUUCUUCGAGGUAGUGUUAACUGAAGUGUUCUUCAGUUUGUCAAGAUAAUGUUCAGUGCUUGGCACUUAAAUAACAUUUUUUGCAAGAACUCCAAGGCACAUUAUUGAAUGCCUUUAACCAAGUGCAUUCUGGGAAGUUUGCUUGACUCAUUAUCUUGCUUUUCUGCAGCAUUCUGUGAUUUGAGUCAUCCAUGAAUCCAUAAAUAAAAGUUACAUUCUUUGAUUGGUAAUAUUGCCAUUUAUAACAAGACUCACUAAUGAGGCUAUCACUUUGACUGACUGAUUUGUUAAAGUUUUUAAGCCUCUCAUUUUCCUAACCCAGAAAUCACAGCCUGAUUUUAUUAAAAGUAGAGCUUCAUUCAUUUCAUACCAUAGAUACCAUCCUAGUAAAUCCAGAACAUAUACAAGGUUCAUGUGAGUCUGCUUUCUUGACAUGAUAGCAUUGUGGACAUGUCAGAAUGACUAACCUAGGAGUUUAAAACUCCUAAGAAACUAAAACCUGUAAGACAUUUAAAAGUCUCCACAAUUUUAAUGUAUACAAAGCUAUGUUACUGUGUAACACAUUACAGUUCAAAUUCACUCCAGAAAUAAAAGGCCAGUAGGAUUAGGGACUCACUGGUAGUUUGGAGUCUCCCAGCACACAUCCCUGCUAGUGGGAUGAUCUAUUGACAUAUCUCCCAGCUUUUUUAUUUUUGCUUCUAUAUAUCACAGUGAGUGGAUGACCCUUCAGCUUUUUCUCUCCUGGCCAGACAUGCAGUCUUGCCUUUAGAUAUCGCAGAGACAAAAUUCACAGCAUGUCUUAAAUCUUCCAGGAUUUGCAAGAACCAAAUUGCUCAACAGUAUGUAUGUUUAGAGGGGUUAGACUCCUUUUUAAAAUCUGGAUAUCUAACCACCUACUUAAAUCUGUUCUGAUAGUGUCAAACCACCCCCACCCUCAAUCCCCCCACCCCCAAGAAAAAGAAAAGAUGCUCCUGUUAAAUGAAGGCUCUUUAGGGGUAGGUGCUAGGUAUACUCUUGGCUAGAUUGAUUCAGCUCAGAAUUUUGACUUCUUAAAGUUAAGUCCUUGUAGUCACAUGGUUGACUUGAAGGAUGAGGUGGUGUGUGCAUUUAUGAGCUUUUCCUACCCCCCUGAAGAAACUUCAUUGGCCUCCUGGUUACUCACCUUGAAGAGAGUACCAUCCAUUUUAGUGAAAAACACAUCUGUCACCUAGGACAUGACGUGGUCGCAGUUGACAGGAAAAAAAAAAAUCUCAUUUAGUUGUUUUAGAGUUGGUGGCAUUCAGAAUAGUCCCUCCUGAGAAAGAAUUGUAACCAGAUUCCCUUUAAAAAUGAGUUCCCCUCCCUUUCCCCCCAAAGGACACAUCCUGAAGCAGAAGGUGGGGGGGGAAGGAGAAAUGUAAAGGCUUUUACUUUGCAUAAGGAUGGGGGACUGGGGAAAAAGGUGAAGCGAAGCCCAAGGACACCAUGCUAAGGGCAAAAGUAGGAGACAAUCUCAGAACUGAGAGAAUUGUGUCUUCUGCUUUUUGAAGUAGACUGUCACACUCAGGCAGCCUGUCAAUGCUGAAUGUUAGGACUUCUGUCUCCACUGGAGACACGGCCUGGUGCAAGUCAGCGUUUAGUGUUUGACAGCUUUCUCAGCACUCCCUGACUCCGUUUACCUUUACUCCGCAUCCCAUUCUCUUACUGCCUAUCUGAAGGAUUGGAUGGGCAGAGUAUAGGUGGCGGUGGUUGGUCCUCCCCGUAUGUUGUCCAUUUAAUUCCAGAGCACUGAUUUUUCCGAAGUGUGCUCUGCCCUGGGAAAAUGGACACAUGUUCCUCACAAUGGGAAUAACUAAUUACUUCUUUUCUUACAGAAAAAGUUGGUGAUUCAAGGAAAGCACAUUGCAAUGCAUUAUAGCAAUCCCAGACCUAAGUUUGAAGAUUGGCUUUGUAACAAGUGCUGCCUUAACAAUUUCAGGAAAAGACUAAAAUGCUUCCGAUGUGGAGCAGACAAGUUUGACUCUGAACAGGAAGUGCCUCCUGGAACCACAGAGUCGGUUCAGUCUGUGGAUUACUACUGUGAUACGAUCAUUCUUCGGAACAUAGCUCCGCACACUGUGGUGGAUUCCAUCAUGACAGCACUGUCUCCUUACGCGUCUUUAGCAGUCAAUAACAUCCGCCUCAUAAAAGACAAACAGACCCAGCAGAACAGAGGCUUCGCAUUUGUGCAGCUGUCUUCUGCAAUGGAUGCUUCUCAGCUGCUUCAGAUAUUACAGAGUCUCCAUCCUCCUUUGAAAAUUGAUGGCAAAACUAUUGGGGUUGAUUUUGCCAAAAGUGCCAGAAAUGAUUAUUCCCUACUGUCCUGUAUAACCAGUUGAUGAAGUUGCCUGAAAUGGUUUCAGAUCAGGAGAAAGAGACUUGGUCCUCUCGGAUGGUAACCGCGUCAGCGCCUUCUCUGUAGCUAGUACAGCUAUUGCUGCUGCUCAGUGGUCAUCCACCCAGUCUCAAAGUGGUGAAGGAGGCAGUGUUGACUACAGUUAUCUGCAGCCGGGUCAAGAUGGCUAUGCCCAAUAUGCUCAGUAUUCACAGGAUUAUCAGCAGUUUUAUCAACAACAAGCUGGAGGAUUGGAAUCUGAUGCAUCAUCUGCAUCAGGCACAGCAGUGACCACCACCUCAGCGGCUGUGGUGUCCCAGAGUCCUCAGCUGUAUAAUCAAACCUCCAAUCCACCUGGCUCUCCGACUGAGGAAGCACAGCCUAGCACUAGCACAAGUACACAGGCCCCAGCCGCUUCCCCUACUGGUGUAGUUCCUGGUACCAAAUAUGCAGUACCUGACACGUCCACUUACCAGUAUGAUGAAUCUUCAGGAUAUUACUAUGAUCCGACGACAGGGCUCUAUUAUGACCCCAACUCGCAAUACUACUAUAAUUCCUUAACCCAGCAGUACCUUUACUGGGAUGGGGAAAAAGAGACCUACGUGCCAGCUGCAGAGUCUAGCUCCCACCAGCAGACGGGCCUGCCUCCUGUAAAAGAGGGGAAAGAGAAGAAGGAGAAACCCAAGAGCAAAACAGCCCAGCAGAUCGCCAAAGACAUGGAACGCUGGGCUAAAAGUUUGAAUAAGCAGAAAGAAAACUUUAAAAAUAGCUUUCAGCCUGUCAAUUCCUUGAGGGAAGAAGAAAGGAGAGAAUCUGCUGCAGCAGACGCUGGCUUUGCUCUCUUUGAGAAGAAGGUAAUAGCAGGAAUGGCCAGUACGUCAUGAUGGGAACUUACCUAAAACUUGAGUCUCAUGGCUUGUCCUCUGUUUCCCAGGGAGCCUUAGCUGAAAGGCAGCAGCUCAUCCCAGAAUUGGUGCGAAAUGGAGAUGAGGAGAAUCCCCUCAAAAGGGGUCUGGUUGCUGCUUACAGUGGUGACAGUGACAAUGAGGAGGAGCUGGUGGAGAGACUUGAGAGUGAGGAAGAAAAGCUAGCUGACUGGAAGAAGAUGGCCUGUCUGCUCUGCCGGCGUCAGUUCCCGAACAAAGAUGCCCUAGUCAGGCACCAGCAACUCUCAGACCUUCACAAGCAAAACAUGGACAUCUACCGACGAUCCAGGCUGAGCGAGCAGGAGCUGGAAGCCUUGGAGCUAAGGGAGAGAGAGAUGAAAUACCGAGACCGAGCUGCAGAAAGACGGGAGAAGUACGGCAUUCCAGAACCUCCAGAGCCCAAGCGCAAGAAGCAGUUUGAUGCCGGCACUGUGUAUGUGAUGCGCACAUUUUCCAGUUCGUAAGCUGGGGCCCUGGCUGUUUUAAGUAACUGUGUGUUUGCCACUGGCAGGAAUUACGAGCAACCCACCAAAGAUGGCAUUGACCACAGUAACAUUGGCAACAAGAUGCUGCAGGCCAUGGGCUGGCGGGAAGGCUCUGGCUUGGGACGAAAGUGUCAAGGCAUUACGGCUCCCAUUGAGGCUCAAGUUCGGCUAAAGGGAGCUGGCCUAGGAGCCAAAGGCAGCGCAUAUGGUUUGUCGGGCGCCGAUUCCUACAAAGAUGCUGUCCGGAAAGCCAUGUUUGCCCGGUUCACUGAGAUGGAGUGAGAGAGAGAGAGAGAGAGAGAGAGAGAGAGAUGACAAGGAGCACAAGAAGUGGUCCAUCUCCUGAAUUCGCUCUUACCGCCUGUCUCUUUAAGGGCAUGCCUUGUGCUGUUAAUAGAUCUUAGGGUGAACCACGUCAUUCUACAGGGUUCUCCCUCCCACCUUAAAGAAGUUCCCCUUAUGUGGGUUGUCUGGUGAAUGGCCUUCCUUCCCGCCAGAGGGCUUGUGAACAGACCGGAGAGGACAGUGGGUUUUUUAUACUCCAGUGUACAUAGUGUAAUGUAGCGUGUUUACAUGUGUAGCCUAUGCUGUGGUCCAUCAGCCCCUCACAUUCCUAGGGGUUUGAGAUGCUGUAGGUGGUAUGUGACACCAAAGCCACCUCUCAUUUGUUGUGAUGUCUUUUCUUGGCAAAAGCCUUGUGUAUAUUUGUAUAUUACACAUUUGUACAGAAUUUUGGAAGAUUUUCAGUCUAGUUGCCAAAUCUGGCUCCUUUACAAAAAUACCUUGAG
This 5763-nucleotide small RNA is filed under the name Pongo abelii (Sumatran orangutan). RNAcentral describes it as "retained intron". Lineage: Eukaryota; Metazoa; Chordata; Mammalia; Primates; Hominidae. The record is from RNAcentral.